RNAcentral lists this ribosomal RNA (167 nucleotides) under uncultured bacterium. RNAcentral describes it as "partial 16S rRNA". It matches the Rfam family "Bacterial small subunit ribosomal RNA", at positions 352 to 511 of the family's 1533-position model. The record is from RNAcentral.
CAGUAGGGAAUCUUCCACAAUGGGCGCAAGCCUGAUGGAGCAACACCGCGUGAGUGAAGAAGGGUUUCGGCUCGUAAAGCUCUGUUGUUAAAGAAGAACACGUAUGAGAGUAACUGUUCAUACGUUGACGGUAUUUAACCAGAAAGUCACGGCUAACUACGUGCCUG